UCCUUAAUUCGAUCAAUAAAAUUGACAAAAAAAUUAUGACAAAUUUGCUUUAAAAAAUUGUAAGUAGUUCAACUUUAUAGACAAGAAUUUCCUCUGCAUUUCACAACAUGUGCUAAUAUGUUCGACCAUACUAUUUUUGUAACGAAUUGGUGAUUUUUUUUUUUUUAAAUUGUGUGCAUGUAUUCUUAAGUAAUUAUAAUGAAUAGUGAGUCAGUUGCAAAUUUGAUCGCUAAAAUACCGUGAAAUUUUAGUGCUUUGCGUAAACUCUGCAACACAGUAAAAUUUCAAACAAUGGAGAACCCUGAACAAGUAACAAGCUACUAAAACUACUAACGUCUGCUAAAUGUUGUGUGACGCGUCUAGUGUGUUGGUGUUAGUGUCUGUGUGCUUGUCACCUCUCGCUUUCAGCCAUCACCGCUGGCUAGCAGCAAUGCGAAAAGGGGGAAGAAAUUCGUAUGACUUCCCCUGCCAGUACAUAGCCUCUCCACAACAAGUCCUAUGCGAUGCCUCCACGUGGAAGCAGACGGAUACUGGGUAUCAUUUUGUCCCAGGCUAAGUUCGCAAGGGCGCACGGGAAGAUGAGUCUCAAAAGCAUUGGAAUACUUUUAAGGCUGAACAGGAUCCUGAAGUGAGGAGGACUCCCUCUCUCAUUGAACUGCAUACAGCAGCAGAAAGCAGGAUUUCAGUUCCCCUUUGAUUCAGAAGAGGAACAACAAUGGAGGACCAAGGUCAUUAAUAUAAGAAGAGUCUAUUCCUGUCUGUGUUUUGCAGCAGAAGAAAGUUAAGACUGACCAGGAAUUCUAAGUGAGGAAGAGUCCCUUUCCCAUUCCGCUGCAGCCAUGAGGAGAA
Saccostrea cuccullata (small rock oyster) is the source of this 849-nucleotide long non-coding RNA. RefSeq lists it as uncharacterized. Lineage: Eukaryota; Metazoa; Mollusca; Bivalvia; Ostreida; Ostreidae. The transcript has 4 exons. The record is from RefSeq and is a predicted model, not a curated record.